Molecule: transfer RNA, 71 nt
Filed under: Fejervarya multistriata
Lineage: Eukaryota; Metazoa; Chordata; Amphibia; Anura; Dicroglossidae
Description: tRNA-Met
Rfam family: tRNA
About the family: Transfer RNA (tRNA) molecules are approximately 80 nucleotides in length. Their secondary structure includes four short double-helical elements and three loops (D, anti-codon, and T loops).
Source: RNAcentral
AGUAAGGUCAGCUAAUUCUAAGCUUUUGGGCUCAUGCCCCAACCAUGUUGGUUCAAAUCCUCCCCUUACUA